This 460-nucleotide ribosomal RNA is filed under the name uncultured bacterium. RNAcentral's name for it is "partial 16S ribosomal RNA". It matches the Rfam family "Bacterial small subunit ribosomal RNA", at positions 338 to 795 of the family's 1533-position model. The record is from RNAcentral.
CCUACGGGAGGCAGCAGUGAGGAAUAUUGGUCAAUGGGCGGAAGCCUGAACCAGCCAAGUCGCGUGCAGGAUGACGGCCCUACGGGUUGUAAACUGCUUUUAUACGGGAAUAACGCGCCUUACGUGUAGGGCUUUGCAUGUACCGUAUGAAUAAGGACCGGCUAAUUCCGUGCCAGCAGCCGCGGUAAUACGGAAGGUCCGGGCGUUAUCCGGAUUUAUUGGGUUUAAAGGGAGCGUAGGUGGAAUGUCAAGCGUGUUGUGAAAUUUCGGGGCUCAACCCGAGCAUUGCAGUGCGUACUGGCGUGCUUGAGUCCGCGUAAGGUAGGCGGAAUUCGUCGUGUAGCGGUGAAAUGCUUAGAUAUGACGAAGAACUCCGAUUGCGAAGGCAGCUUGCUGAAGUGGAACUGACGCUGAUGCUCGAAAGCGCGGGUAUCGAACAGGAUUAGAUACCCUAGUAGUC